GGACUACUGGGGUAUCUAAUCCCGUUCGCUCCCCUAGCUUUCGCGCCUCAGCGUCAGAAGAGGUCCAGCAGCUCGCUUUCGCCACCGGCGUUCCUUCCGAUAUCAACGCAUUUCACCGCUCCACCGGAAGUUCCAGCUGCCCCUACCUCCCUCCAGACAAGCAGUAUCCAAGGCACUUUUCCGGUUAAGCCGAAAGAUUUCACCCCGGACUUGCUUGCCCGCCUACGCGCCCUUUAAGCCCAGUGAUUCCGAACAACGUUUGCACGGUUCGUCUUACCGCGGCUGCUGGCAC
Molecule: ribosomal RNA, 292 nt
Filed under: uncultured bacterium
Lineage: Bacteria
Also listed under: 2 other names
Description: partial 16S ribosomal RNA
Source: RNAcentral